UACCAGCACCCCGAGUGGUCGGGACGUUUAUUGGGCCUAAAGCAUCCGUAGCCGGUUCUACAAGUCUUCCGUUAAAUCCAACUGCUUAACAGGUGGGCUGCUGAAGAUACUAUAGAGCUAGGAGGCGGGAGAGGCAAGCGGUACUCGAUGGGUAGGGGUAAAAUCCGUUGAUCCAUUGAAGACCACCAGUGGCGAAGGCGGCUUGCCAGAACGCGCUCGACGGUGAGGGAUGAAAGCUGGGGGAGCAAACCGG
RNAcentral lists this ribosomal RNA (253 nucleotides) under uncultured bacterium. RNAcentral's name for it is "partial 16S ribosomal RNA". It matches the Rfam family "Archaeal small subunit ribosomal RNA", at positions 474 to 727 of the family's 1478-position model. The record is from RNAcentral.